This 69-nucleotide ribosomal RNA is filed under the name uncultured eukaryote. RNAcentral's name for it is "partial small subunit ribosomal RNA". The record is from RNAcentral.
CGACGGUGAGCUCGGUGACUGGGACUAAGUCGUAACAAGGUAGCCGUAGGUGAACCUGCAGAACGAUCA